AAUGAACGUUGGCGGCGUGGAUUAGGCAUGCAAGUCGCGCGAGAAUUCCCGCAAGGGAAGGACAGCGGCGAAAGGGAGAGUAACGCGUGGAUAUCUGCCCUCAGACCCGGGAUAGCUGCGGGAAACUGCAGGUAAUACCGGAUAAUGUCUUUGGACCAAAGGUGUGAUUCCGUCUGAGGAUGAGUCCGCGUCCUAUUAGCUAGUUGGCGGGGUAAUGGCCCACCAAGGCGAUGAUGGGUACUGGGUGUGAGAGCACGACCCAGCUCACUGGGACUGAGACACUGCCCAGACACCUACGGUGGCUGCAGUCGAGGAUCUUCGGCAAUAGGGCGCAAGACCUGACCGACGCGACGCCGCGUGCGGGA
This 365-nucleotide ribosomal RNA is filed under the name uncultured bacterium. RNAcentral describes it as "bacterial SSU rRNA". It matches the Rfam family "Bacterial small subunit ribosomal RNA", at positions 29 to 408 of the family's 1533-position model. The record is from RNAcentral.